RNAcentral lists this ribosomal RNA (496 nucleotides) under uncultured bacterium. Its description in RNAcentral is "partial 16S ribosomal RNA". It matches the Rfam family "Bacterial small subunit ribosomal RNA", at positions 30 to 523 of the family's 1533-position model. The record is from RNAcentral.
AUUGAACGCUGGCGGAAUGCUUUACACAUGCAAGCCGAACGGUAGAGGGGGCAACCCCUCGAGAGUGGCGAACGGGUGAGUAAUAUAUCGGAACGUGCCCAGUCGUGGGGGAUAACAUAGCGAAAGUUACGCUAAUACCGCAUACGAUCUAAGGAUGAAAGCGGGGGAUCGCAAGACCUCGCGCGAUUGGAGCGGCCGAUAUCAGAUUAGGAAGUUGGUGGGGUAAAGGCUCACCAAGCCAACGAUCUGUAGCUGGUCUGAGAGGACGACCAGCCACACUGGAACUGAGACACGGUCCAGACUCCUACGGGAGGCAGCAGUGGGGAAUUUUGGACAAUGGACGCAAGUCUGAUCCAGCCAUUCCGCGUGCAGGAUGAAGGCCCUCGGGUUGUAAACUGCUUUUGUACGGAACGAAAAGGUCUCUCUUAAUACGGGGGGCUCAUGACGGUACCGUAAGUAUAAGCACCGGCUAACUACGUGCCAGCAGCCGCCGUAA